RNAcentral lists this ribosomal RNA (1330 nucleotides) under Pseudomonas umsongensis. Its description in RNAcentral is "partial 23S ribosomal RNA". It matches the Rfam family "Bacterial large subunit ribosomal RNA", at positions 1632 to 2925 of the family's 2925-position model. The record is from RNAcentral. Lineage: Bacteria; Pseudomonadati; Pseudomonadota; Gammaproteobacteria; Pseudomonadales; Pseudomonadaceae.
UAACCAGGAACCGUACCCCAAACCGACACAGGUGGUUGGGUAGAGAAUACCAAGGCGCUUGAGAGAACUCGGGUGAAGGAACUAGGCAAAAUGGCACCGUAACUUCGGGAGAAGGUGCGCCGGUGAGGGUGAAGCAUUUACUGCGUAAGCCCACGCCGGUCGAAGAUACCAGGCCGCUGCGACUGUUUAUUAAAAACACAGCACUCUGCAAACACGAAAGUGGACGUAUAGGGUGUGACGCCUGCCCGGUGCCGGAAGGUUAAUUGAUGGGGUUAGCUAACGCGAAGCUCUUGAUCGAAGCCCCGGUAAACGGCGGCCGUAACUAUAACGGUCCUAAGGUAGCGAAAUUCCUUGUCGGGUAAGUUCCGACCUGCACGAAUGGCGUAACGAUGGCGGCGCUGUCUCCACCCGAGACUCAGUGAAAUUGAAAUCGCUGUGAAGAUGCAGUGUAUCCGCGGCUAGACGGAAAGACCCCGUGAACCUUUACUAUAGCUUUGCACUGGACUUUGAAUUUGCUUGUGUAGGAUAGGUGGGAGGCUUUGAAGCGUGGACGCCAGUUCGCGUGGAGCCAUCCUUGAAAUACCACCCUGGCAACUUUGAGGUUCUAACUCAGGUCCGUUAUCCGGAUCGAGGACAGUGUAUGGUGGGUAGUUUGACUGGGGCGGUCUCCUCCUAAAGAGUAACGGAGGAGUACGAAGGUGCGCUCAGACCGGUCGGAAAUCGGUCGUAGAGUAUAAAGGCAAAAGCGCGCUUGACUGCGAGACAGACACGUCGAGCAGGUACGAAAGUAGGUCUUAGUGAUCCGGUGGUUCUGUAUGGAAGGGCCAUCGCUCAACGGAUAAAAGGUACUCCGGGGAUAACAGGCUGAUACCGCCCAAGAGUUCAUAUCGACGGCGGUGUUUGGCACCUCGAUGUCGGCUCAUCACAUCCUGGGGCUGAAGCCGGUCCCAAGGGUAUGGCUGUUCGCCAUUUAAAGUGGUACGCGAGCUGGGUUUAGAACGUCGUGAGACAGUUCGGUCCCUAUCUGCCGUGGACGUUUGAGAUUUGAGAGGGGCUGCUCCUAGUACGAGAGGACCGGAGUGGACGAACCUCUGGUGUUCCGGUUGUCACGCCAGUGGCAUUGCCGGGUAGCUAUGUUCGGAAUAGAUAACCGCUGAAAGCAUCUAAGCGGGAAACUAGCCUCAAGAUGAGAUCUCACUGGGACCUUGAGUCCCCUGAAGGGCCGUCGAAGACUACGACGUUGAUAGGUUGGGUGUGUAAGCGCUGUGAGGCGUUGAGCUAACCAAUACUAAUUGCCCGUGAGGCUUGACCAUAUAACACCCAAGCAAUU